GUGCUUGCUUCAGCAACACGUAUACUAAAAUUGGACUGAUACAGAGAAGAUUAGCAAGGCCCCUAUGCAAGAAUGACUUGCAAAUUUGUGAAGCAUUCCAUAUUUCA
Antechinus flavipes (yellow-footed antechinus) is the source of this 107-nucleotide small nuclear RNA. Lineage: Eukaryota; Metazoa; Chordata; Mammalia; Dasyuromorphia; Dasyuridae. The record is from RefSeq and is a predicted model, not a curated record.